GCAAACUUGGUCAUUUAGAGGAAGUAAAAGUCGUAACAAGGUUUCCGUAGGUGAACCUGCGGAAGGAUCAUUAACGAGAAUGUGGGUGUGGCGUGUGAGCUGCACACAUGAGCACACAAUGUGUGCACAUGAACGCCGUGUCAUUCCCUAUGGGGUAUGGCACAGGCACAUGAACGCGUGUAUGUGUGAUAUAUUGUGAUGUGUGUAUAAAAUAGUACAACUUUUAACAAUGGAUCUCUUGGCUCCUGCAUCGAUGAAGAACGCAGC
Molecule: unclassified non-coding RNA, 267 nt
Filed under: uncultured fungus
Lineage: Eukaryota; Fungi
Description: partial contains small subunit ribosomal RNA, internal transcribed spacer 1, and 5.8S ribosomal RNA
Rfam family: Eukaryotic small subunit ribosomal RNA (bases 1-73)
Source: RNAcentral